Molecule: long non-coding RNA, 413 nt
Filed under: Dasypus novemcinctus (nine-banded armadillo)
Lineage: Eukaryota; Metazoa; Chordata; Mammalia; Cingulata; Dasypodidae
Description: lncRNA (ENSDNOG00000050572.1)
Source: RNAcentral
AAGGAGCUGUGGGAGCUGGGAGAGGCAAGAUGUGCUGGAACUGACUGGCUUGAGGCUUAAGAGUUGCUGAAACCACUGCUCAAUCCUGUGCUGGUGCUGGAGCAAGAACUGGGGACAUAGGAAACAGGAUCCUAUCAAAAGAGAAUAGGAGGAGGAAAGAAAUGAGCCAAGUGUUGCAGAUGAAAAGCAUGCACAGAUCUGCUUCAAGUUUACUCCUAAUCACCGACUCUACAACCCUUUAACUCACCAGGAGUUGGAACACACUCUGAGAGGUGAGUACAAUCCACAUUAAGGACAAAGGGAGCCAUAACACCUGGGAAAUACCAUCAGAAGUGGAAUUUGAGUUGUAGGAGUUCUUUAUAUAUUUUGGAUAUAAAUCAUGAGGAUAUGUUGUUACCAAAUGUUUUCUGCCA